Molecule: transfer RNA, 73 nt
Filed under: Bos taurus (domestic cattle)
Lineage: Eukaryota; Metazoa; Chordata; Mammalia; Artiodactyla; Bovidae
Also listed under: 5 other names
Rfam family: tRNA
About the family: Transfer RNA (tRNA) molecules are approximately 80 nucleotides in length. Their secondary structure includes four short double-helical elements and three loops (D, anti-codon, and T loops).
Source: Rfam by way of RNAcentral
UCCUUGGCAGUUCAUUGGUUAGGACUCUACACUGUCACUGCUGAGGGCCCAGGUUCAACCCCUGAUCAGGGAA